Molecule: long non-coding RNA, 802 nt
Filed under: Rattus norvegicus (Norway rat)
Lineage: Eukaryota; Metazoa; Chordata; Mammalia; Rodentia; Muridae
Description: long non-coding RNA NONRATT020518
Source: RNAcentral
GGAGAGCUUGGAUUCACAUCAAGCACACUCUGUCUGCCCAGGUUUGGGCUGUUUUCUGGAAUGAAUACUACUCAAAAUUCAACCUAAAUGCUGAAAAUAAAGCAAAAUUAACAUUAAAAGUAGCUUUCUACAAACAUGGAACAGAAAAAGAUCUACCACAACCAUGAGGAAAAACAGGUACCCUGUCCCUGAAGAUGCCAGAGCCUUAACAAGAGGAGAUAUGAACCUGGGCAAUUCCAUUAUCCUGAAGAAGCCCAGGUCCAAAGAAAGAAGAGAGGUGGGCCUGGGAUAGUCCCUAACCUUGAAGCAUACAGGGCCCAAACCAAAAGGUGUGUGGAUCUCAGCCAAUCCCUGACCCUGAAGAGGCCUAGGUGCAAAGAAAGAUGUGAUAUGGGCCUGGGCCUAUCGCUAAACCUGAAGCAGCCUGGGCCUAAAGAAGAGUGGACCUGGGCUAAUGCCUGUCCCUGAAAAAGCUUAAGCCCAAAGCAAAUAGUGGUAUGUACCUGGGUCUAUCCCUCACUCCGAAGAGGCUCAGGCACACAGAAUAAGAAAUGUAGGUCUGGGCCAAUCCAGGAUCCUUAAAACGCUUGGACCCAAACAAUUGGAGAUAUGAGCCUUGACCCUGAAGAGGCUUGGGCCCAAAGCACACUGAGCCAGUGGCCUGGGCCAAUCCUUCACCCUGAGAAAUACUGGUUUCCAAGAAAGAAGUAAUGUGGAUCUAGUUCUCUACCUAACCCUGAAGAGACCUAGACCAAGAACAAUAAGUGAUCUGGGCCUUGGCCUGGGUUUAUCCCUAACAUGA